CAAGUUGAAUUUUAGGUCAGCCUAAGGGCAUCACUACAUUUCUGCUGCAUUCCAUCAUCUGCUCACAUAGAAAUAUCCAACAAAAGAAGCCUCUUAUCAAUAUGUUUGACUCGUUGCUCUAUCUCGCUGAGUAUUGGGAGUAAUCAGGGCAGUCCUUUGACACCAAUUUCAUGGUCGUCAGUGGUAUGCACGGUCACAGAAAGUUGAGCAUUUGUUGGUGAUUAAUUUUUUUCUCUCAAGUCCCCCUCAGUCCUUGCACCAGCUCUGAUCUAUGAUGGCUAACUGAAAUGAAGCUGCUCAUUAAAAACUUUAGAUGGGUGUUUUGAAGAAUUUUUUUUUUUCCUUUUACUUAAUACUAACAAAAAUGGGACCAAACAGACACUUUUUUGUAGUGUGCAGUGGACCCUUCUGGUGUAUGCCUACCCAAACUUUCACUUCACCAUUAAUUGUCCAUCUGUUUAACCUCCCAUGUUUCUCAGCAGAGUACUUUUGACUAAUUCGAGCUUCAUUCGGUUGCCUCCAUAUGCAUUAUGUCCUGUCUUCACUGGAAAAUCACUCUUCCAAAUGGGCUCUGUGCCAGGGGAAUGUUUUUUUCUGUUUCGUACAACCACCAUUCUUUGAAGAUAUCCUCCAAAACAAACUGGAAUAACUUCUAAUCACCACAAGGCCGCCUGUGGAUUCUUCUCCGCCUGACUUGUAUUGGGGAGAACGAAUGCAGCUGGGCAUCCUAAUUAGAGGACGCCUCAGUGAGGUGAAAUGAUUGAAUGAUGUCAACCACAGUAAACUAACACUCUAAUCACUCUCAUCCACAGCUGCUUGGGACUGAGGUUGAGCAAGAGGUCCUCAAGUUGUUGCUCAGCAUGAGUUUCCUUACAGCGUCAGAUCAGAAGGGAUGAAUAGUAGAUAGCCAAGUUUGCGUCAAACGUGGCUCCUGAAUGCACUGUUGAUUGACAAGUGGCAACUAGUGUCUCCAUGCCUACUGUGACUCUCCUGCUGUUUAUGCUGUCUGUUUGAAGCUUUGCAAAUCUUGGCUUUGCUU
Molecule: long non-coding RNA, 1039 nt
Organism: Astatotilapia calliptera (eastern happy)
Lineage: Eukaryota; Metazoa; Chordata; Actinopteri; Cichliformes; Cichlidae
Source: Ensembl